RNAcentral lists this transfer RNA (66 nucleotides) under Atrocalopteryx atrata. Its description in RNAcentral is "tRNA-Ala". It matches the Rfam family "tRNA". Rfam says of the family: Transfer RNA (tRNA) molecules are approximately 80 nucleotides in length. Their secondary structure includes four short double-helical elements and three loops (D, anti-codon, and T loops). Lineage: Eukaryota; Metazoa; Arthropoda; Insecta; Odonata; Calopterygidae. The record is from RNAcentral.
AGGACUAUAGUUAAAAAUAACAUUUAAUUUGCAAUUAAAAAGUAUUGAUUAAUUCAAUUUGUCUUA